CCGGAGCCAAGUAUUAUACCACAUGCUACAAUUACACACUAUAAAAUAGUAUUACUAUAGCUUAGUUGGGACGUGUAGAUAAUUAUAUCUGUGGUUCUGAAAUCUCUUAAACUUUCCAUGGAUGAUUAAUCGAACUUACAGUUUUGUAACUAGUGUCGAGUAAUUUUAACAUAUUACGGUUUCUUAUUACUAUCUAGAUAGUAUGUUGCGCAUAGCACGUAAACCUAAACGUUUUAUAUUUUGUUAGUGAAGUUUUUUUUUUUUUUGUGUAAUUUCUUGUAGCCGUUUGUCUAAGCGUUCUUUGGUUAGUGAAGCUUUUUUUUUGUAAUUUCUUAUAGCCGUUUGUCUAAGCGUUAAUUAAAAGAGGUCGUUAAUAUAUUUCAAAUGUGACGUACAUCUCUCAAAUAAAAUUUCUCACGUAUUCAAUUAUCAAAUUAUUGAUCAUUAUGAUUGUCUCGACGGUCACCACCAUCCAAGUAGAGCCCACAAGCUGCUUCGAGGAAAAUAACUCAUGUCGGACUCAUCUACGGUUUCUUCUGCAGCAUGAAACAAGACAAAUGUGUUUUGAUGUCUAUGGACCGACAACAAACAAAUGUCUAUGUCGUUUAAAAUUAAAAUUUGAAACUACUCAUUUUAGUUAUUGUAUCGUUUGUGUUCAAACACGUUUCCGAUGAAACAAUGACAUGUUUAAUAUAGUGAGUGUAAUUUAACAGUUUAAAAUAUUUGGUUGAAAU
RNAcentral lists this long non-coding RNA (734 nucleotides) under Brassica rapa (field mustard). Its description in RNAcentral is "long non-coding RNA (BRAP_LNC003930)". Lineage: Eukaryota; Viridiplantae; Streptophyta; Magnoliopsida; Brassicales; Brassicaceae. The record is from RNAcentral.